This is a long non-coding RNA of Ornithorhynchus anatinus (platypus), 360 nucleotides long. RefSeq lists it as uncharacterized. The record is from RefSeq and is a predicted model, not a curated record. Lineage: Eukaryota; Metazoa; Chordata; Mammalia; Monotremata; Ornithorhynchidae. The transcript is spliced from 3 exons.
UUAUCACAGACACAGACCCGAUGAAAGAUAUGUUCUUUCUGAAGAAAAUGUAGUUUUGUCUGAGCUCGCUUUAAGUAUGCCGUGGACAUAGUUACACCAAAUUCAGAGGGUGUUAAGUGUUUUAAGGGAGAUGCUAAAAUACCUCUAUUUGCAGUUGAACACAAGUUCUCUAUUUGGUAAAAACAAAAAGUGAGGAAAAGAGAAAAUGGAUCCCCAAAGUAGUCUGGACGGGAGCGGUCUGCCUUGUACGACACGGGUCGUGAUCGGGAAAGGACAGAAGAGAGGCAGUUGGCCUUGGCCUGGUCUUCCAAAUCUGGGAGUCGAACACAGCUGGACCAGGAUCCAAUUUUUUUGUCAAUG